Molecule: ribosomal RNA, 200 nt
Filed under: uncultured bacterium
Lineage: Bacteria
Description: partial 16S ribosomal RNA
Rfam family: Bacterial small subunit ribosomal RNA
Source: RNAcentral
UACUCCUACGGGAGGCAGCAGUGGGGAAUAUUGCACAAUGGGCGCAAGCCUGAUGCAGCCAUGCCGCGUGUAUGAAGAAGGCCUUCGGGUUGUAAAGUACUUUCAGCGGGGAGGAAGGCGGUGAGGUUAAUAACCUCGCCGAUUGACGUUACCCGCAGAAGAAGCACCGGCUAACUCCGUGCCAGCAGCCGCGGUAAUAA